GGGGACGACAUGGUUUCGACGGGGGACCGAGUAUCGUAGAUGGCAUGCCGAGGUUGCCUGGCGCCUCGUAAAAUAGUCGGGCAAAAAAUUAAAUGCAGAUGAUUAUGCAUACGCUCUGGCUGCCUAAUUUAGCGUAGCCACGUUCUUCUAAUCGGUGCCAUCCCGGUUAGAAUGAACGACGACAAUGAUGGCUGGUCUGCUUUUGUGCCUGGCAAAGGCAGGCGAGAUGCUUCCAGGCUGGCUGCGAAACGGCUUUGUUUGUUGGGCCCGAAGCAGCGAGAUUCAACCAACAAACUAAGCAUGUAGAGGUCUACGGGGCUUGUCCUUCGGACGCGGGUUCGAUUCCCGCCGUCUCCACUU
Molecule: transfer-messenger RNA, 360 nt
Filed under: Calditrichota bacterium
Lineage: Bacteria; Pseudomonadati; Calditrichota
Description: Calditrichaeota bacterium transfer-messenger RNA
Rfam family: transfer-messenger RNA
About the family: Bacterial tmRNA, also known as 10Sa RNA or SsrA, is named for its dual tRNA and mRNA-like properties. Its role is to liberate the mRNA from a stalled ribosome.
Source: RNAcentral